AGAGUGAACGCUGGCGGCAGGCCUAACACAUGCAAGUCGAACGGCAGCACAGUAAGAGCUUGCUCUUAUGGGUGGCGAGUGGCGGACGGGUGAGGAAUACAUCGGAAUCUGCCUAUUUGUGGGGGAUAACGUAGGGAAACUUACACUAAUACCGCAUACGACCUACGGGUGAAAGCGGAGGACCUUCGGGCUUCGCGCAGAUAGAUGAGCCGAUGUCGGAUUAGCUAGUUGGUGGGGUAAAGGCCCACCAAGGCGACGAUCCGUAGCUGGUCUGAGAGGAUGAUCAGCCACACUGGAACUGAGACACGGUCCAGACUCCUACGGGAGGCAGCAGUGGGGAAUAUUGGACAAUGGGCGCAAGCCUGAUCCAGCCAUGCCGCGUGAGUGAAGAAGGCCCUUGGUUGUAAAGCUUCUUUUGUGGGAAGAAAGCAAGUCGGUUAAUACCCGGUUGUUCUGUACGUACCCAAAGAAUAAGCACCGGCUAACUCGUGCCAGCACG
This 499-nucleotide ribosomal RNA is filed under the name uncultured soil bacterium. Its description in RNAcentral is "bacterial SSU rRNA". It matches the Rfam family "Bacterial small subunit ribosomal RNA", at positions 26 to 515 of the family's 1533-position model. The record is from RNAcentral.